CAGUCGAUGAAGAAAAAUUAGGCAGUGGAUGCAUUUGAUGACAGGUACCUUACCCCGAAGCCAAUUGGUUGGUUUCUCCUUCACAUGAAAGGCUUAUUUAUUCUUAAAGUGGAAAUAUAACAAGAUAAGGGAAAUAAAAAGAAAAAGAAUUCUGGACUUUGAUGUGCUGCAUUUUGUGGGCAAAUCUGAAAAAGAAUGAUGGAUUCGUCAAUGCCUUCUCUCCUCCAUUUGGUCCAUUUUGUUCUUCAAUCUCUCGAACCUUGCGCUUCCUGCAAAAGGAGGGAGUCACAAAUGAUAAACUUAACAAUCAUUUGGGCCACCAGAAAGGAAAAUGCACUACACAGAGAAGAAUUGAAAGGUGAAAACUGAAAAACACUAUUGAUGUAGUUAAGAAUAACAGCUUUGCUCUUCACAUGGGAAAAAAGAAGAAAAAUAAGUGCCUCACACACUUAGCACUAGAGUAUACCUCUGGAAUACUUAGUAGACUAUAAAAUUGAAACGCAGCAUAUGCUUAUAUGCUUAAAAUAGUUCUUAAUUUUGUAUUUCCAUUCUCAUCUUAAAAAUCAGUAUAAAUGUCUUACUGUAUUGGAACUUUUUCUUCUCUGCAGGCACAUUCAAUAAAACUAGCAACAAACAGCAUCAGUCAAUAUCAAUACCAACCAAAUACCUGGAUGAAAAGAUUUAGUUUUGGACAAGAUAGAUUAGUAAUGUUUCUUCUUAUCUCACCUCUAGUCUGCAAGGGAACAAUUAGAAAGCAGCUCAUCAGCCAUAUGUCCUUCAAAUAGGUAGGUUGUUGUGUCUGAAGGCUUCGGAUUACUUGGCGUAGGUCCCAUAUGUCCAGAUUGUGAAGAAGCUGAUGAUUGUGCACCUUCGGUUUUUUUUAUUGCCGGAG
This 892-nucleotide long non-coding RNA is filed under the name Vitis vinifera (wine grape). RNAcentral's name for it is "long non-coding RNA (VVIN_LNC001289)". The record is from RNAcentral. Lineage: Eukaryota; Viridiplantae; Streptophyta; Magnoliopsida; Vitales; Vitaceae.